ACGGGUGAGUAACGCGUAAGUUAUCUACCUCGGCAUCUGGAAUAACUCACCGAAAGGUGUGCUAAUACCGGAUACGUUGAGUAAUCAAGAAAGGUGGCCUCUGCAUAUGCUACCGUGCUGGGAUGAGCUUGCGUACCAUUAGCUAGUUGGUAGGGUAAUGGCCUACCAAGGCGACGAUGGUUAGCGGGUCUGAGAGGAUGAUCCGCCACACUGGAACUGGAACACGGACCAGACUCCUACGGGAGGCAGCAGUGAGGAAUAUUGCGCAAUGGGGGCAACCCUGACGCAGCGACGCCGCGUGGAUGAUGAAGGCCUUCGGGUCGUAAAAUCCUGUCAGGUGGAAAGAAGUGCAUAGUGGCUAAUAUCCAUUAUGUUUGACGGUACCACCGAAGGAAGCACCGGCUAACUCCGUGCCAGCAGCCGCGGUAAUACGGAGGGUGCAAGCGUUGUUCGGAAUUACUGGGCGUAAAGCGCGCGUAGGCGGUUUGUUAAGUCAGAUGUGAAAGCCCUCGGCUUAACCGGGGACGUGCAUUUGAAACUGGCAGACUUGAGUACUGGAGGGGGUGGUGGAAUUCCCGGUGUAG
This 584-nucleotide ribosomal RNA is filed under the name uncultured bacterium. RNAcentral's name for it is "bacterial SSU rRNA". It matches the Rfam family "Bacterial small subunit ribosomal RNA", at positions 102 to 678 of the family's 1533-position model. The record is from RNAcentral.